GAUAAACGCUGAAGGCAUCUAAGCGUGAAGCCCCCCUCAAGAUGAGAUAUCCCAUUCUUAUGAAGUAAACCCCCUUGAAGACGACGAGGUAGAUAGGGCAGAGGUGGAAGUGUGGUAACACACGGAGCUGACUGUUACUAAUCGGGUGAGGGCUUGACCAA
RNAcentral lists this ribosomal RNA (161 nucleotides) under Blautia sp. MSK.21.1. Its description in RNAcentral is "partial 23S ribosomal RNA". It matches the Rfam family "Bacterial large subunit ribosomal RNA", at positions 2763 to 2925 of the family's 2925-position model. Lineage: Bacteria; Bacillati; Bacillota; Clostridia; Lachnospirales; Lachnospiraceae. The record is from RNAcentral.